GACGAACGCUGGCGGCGUGCUUAACACAUGCAAGUCGAACGGAAAGGCCCUGCUUUUGUGGGGUGCUCGAGUGGCGAACGGGUGAGUAACACGUGAGUAACCUGCCCUUGACUUUGGGAUAACUUCAGGAAACUGGGGCUAAUACCGGAUAGGAGCUCCUGCUGCAUGGUGGGGGUUGGAAAGUUUCGGCGGUUGGGGAUGGACUCGCGGCUUAUCAGCUUGUUGGUGGGGUAGUGGCUUACCAAGGCUUUGACGGGUAGCCGGCCUGAGAGGGUGACCGGCCACAUUGGGACUGAGAGACGGCGCAGACGCCUACGGGAGGCAGCAGUGGGGAGUAUUGCACAGUGGGCGGAAGCCUGAUGCAGCAACGCCGCGUGCGGGAUGACGGCCUUCGGGUUGUAAACCGCUUUCGCCUGUGACGAAGCGUGAGUGACGGUAAUGGGUAAAGAAGCACCGGCUAACUACGUG
This 468-nucleotide ribosomal RNA is filed under the name uncultured bacterium. RNAcentral's name for it is "partial 16S ribosomal RNA". It matches the Rfam family "Bacterial small subunit ribosomal RNA", at positions 28 to 507 of the family's 1533-position model. The record is from RNAcentral.